GUCUAUUUGGGUUUAUAUAUAGUCUGGCCUGCUCACUGACAUAGGAUUGUUUAAGAGCCGCGGUAUUUUGACCGUGCAAAGGUAGCAUAAUCAUUAGCUUUUUGAUUGAAAGCUUGUAUGAAUGGUCGGACAAAGGAAAAGCUGUCUUUACUGUAAAAUUAGAAAUUAACCUCUAAGUGAAAAGGCUUAGAUUCUUUAGGGGGACGAUAAGACCCUAUAAAGCUUUACAUAUAAGUAGAGUUUACUUAAUUAAAAAGUAAAAGUUUAAUCUAAUUAAUGUGUUUUGUUGGGGCGACAUAAAUAUAAUUUAUAUUAACUGUUUAUAAAUUAAUACAAUAAUAAAUGAUUUUAAUGUAGUUGAUCCUUAUUAAAGAUUAAAAGACUAAGUUACUUUAGGGAUAACAGCGUUAUUUCUUUUGAGAGCUCCUAUCGAAAAAGAAGUUUGCGACCUCGAUGUUGAAUUAAAAUAUCUAAAUAAUGCAGCAGUUAUUUAAGAAGGUCUGUUCGACCUUUAAAUUUUU
This 521-nucleotide ribosomal RNA is filed under the name Chionoecetes bairdi. RNAcentral describes it as "partial 16S ribosomal RNA". It matches the Rfam family "Bacterial large subunit ribosomal RNA", at positions 1829 to 2597 of the family's 2925-position model. The record is from RNAcentral. Lineage: Eukaryota; Metazoa; Arthropoda; Malacostraca; Decapoda; Majidae.